AACCGGAUUAGAUACCCUGGUAGUCCACGCCCUAAACGAUGUCUACUAGUUGUCGGGUUUUAAUUAACUUGGUAAUGCAGCUAACGCGUGAAGUAGACCGCCUGGGGAGUACGGUCGCAAGAUUAAAACUCAAAGGAAUUGACGGGGACCCGCACAAGUGGUGGAUGAUGUGGAUUAAUUCGAUGCAACGCGAAAAACCUUACCUACCCUUGACGUGUACGGAAGGCCGGAGAGAUUUGGCUGUGCUCGAAAGAGAACCGUAACACAGGUGCUGCAUGGCUGUCGUCAGCUCGUGUCGUGAGAUGUUGGGUUAAGUCCCGCAACGGGCGCAACCCUUGUCAUUAGUUGCUACGAAAGGGCACUCUAAUGAGACUGCCGGUGACAAACCGGAGGAAGGUGGGGAUGACGUCAAGUCCUCAUGGCCCUUAUGGGUAGGGCUUCACACGUCAUACAAUGGUACAUACAGAGCGCCGCCAACCCGCGAGGGGGAGCUAAUCGCAGAAAGUGUAUCGUAGUCCGGAUUGUAGUCUGCAACUCGACUACAUGAAGUUGGAAUCGCUAGUAAUCGCGGAUCAGCAUGUCGCGGUGAAUACGUUCCCGGGUCUUGUACACACCGCCCGUCACACCAUGGGAGCGGGUUUUACCAGAAGUAGGUAGCUUAACCGCAAGGAGGGCGCUUACCACGGUAGGAUUCGUGACUGGGGUGAAGUCGUAACAAGGUAACCGUA
This 728-nucleotide ribosomal RNA is filed under the name uncultured endophytic bacterium. Its description in RNAcentral is "bacterial SSU rRNA". It matches the Rfam family "Bacterial small subunit ribosomal RNA", at positions 771 to 1504 of the family's 1533-position model. The record is from RNAcentral.